This 251-nucleotide ribosomal RNA is filed under the name uncultured prokaryote. RNAcentral describes it as "partial 16S rRNA". It matches the Rfam family "Bacterial small subunit ribosomal RNA", at positions 525 to 775 of the family's 1533-position model. The record is from RNAcentral.
ACGAAGGGAGCUAGCGUUGUUCGGAAUUACUGGGCGUAAAGGGCGUGUAGGCGGUACCAUAAGUCAGAUGUGAAAGCCCUAGGCUUAACCUAGGAGGUGCAUUUGAUACUGUGGAACUAGAGAUCGAGAGAGGAAAGUGGAAUUACGAGUGUAGAGGUGAAAUUCGUAGAUAUUCGUAAGAACACCAGUGGCGAAGGCGACUUUCUGGCUCGAUACUGACGCUAAGGCGCGAAAGCGUGGGGAGCAAACAG